RNAcentral lists this ribosomal RNA (477 nucleotides) under uncultured bacterium. RNAcentral's name for it is "partial 16S ribosomal RNA". It matches the Rfam family "Bacterial small subunit ribosomal RNA", at positions 28 to 507 of the family's 1533-position model. The record is from RNAcentral.
GAUUAACGCUGGCGGCGUGCAUAACACAUGCAAGUCGAACGAUGAAACUUUAAUGAACCCUUCGGGGAGAAUUAAAGCGGCUUAGUGGCGAACGGGUGAGUAACGCGUGAGUAACCUGCCUUACACAAGGGGAUAGCCUUUGGAAACGAAGAAUAAUACCCUAUAAAACCAUAAAAGCACAUGCAAUUAUGGUCAAAGUGAUAGCGGUGUAAGAUGGACUUGCGUCUGAUUAGCUAGUUGGUGAGAUAAAAGCCCACCAAGGCAACGAUCAGUAGCCGGCUUGAGAGAGUGUACGGCCACAUUGGGACUGAGACACGGCCCAGACUCCGACGGGAGGCAGCAGUGGGGAAUUUUGCACAAUGGGGGAAACCCUGAUGCAGCGACGCCGCGUGAUUUAGAAGGCCUUCGGGUUGUAAAAAUCUUUUGUAUAGGAAGAAAAUGACAGUACUAUACGAAUAAGGUCCGGCUAAUUACGUG